Molecule: long non-coding RNA, 217 nt
Organism: Pollicipes pollicipes
Lineage: Eukaryota; Metazoa; Arthropoda; Thecostraca; Pollicipedomorpha; Pollicipedidae
Exons: 3
Source: RefSeq, a predicted model, not a curated record
GACCAGACGGCGCCGCACGAUAUGGCUGGCACCGUGCCGCACGAGUUCGCCGAGUGGGGGUACCAGGAGUACAGCGGCUACGACCCGGAGCUGAAGCCGGACGACAUGGAGCUGGAGGCGGGCGAGGAGGAGGCGGCCGGCGGCCCCGACGCCCGGCGCAAGACCACACAGAACGCCAAGAAGCCCAAGGUACACCUGGACCCCAAGCUGAAGCUGA